Molecule: ribosomal RNA, 301 nt
Filed under: uncultured bacterium
Lineage: Bacteria
Description: partial 16S ribosomal RNA
Rfam family: Bacterial small subunit ribosomal RNA
Source: RNAcentral
CAGCCGCCGCGGGAAUACGAAGGGGGCUAGCGUUGUUCGGAAUUACUGGGCGUAAAGCGCACGUAGGCGGAUAUUUAAGUCAGGGGUGAAAUCCCGCAGCUCAACUGCGGAACUGCCUUUGAUACUGGGUAUCUUGAGUAUGGAAGAGGUUAGUGGAAUUGCGAGUGUAGAGGUGAAAUUCGUAGAUAUUAGCUAGAACACCAGUGGCGAAGGCGGCCAACUGGUCCGACACUGACGCUGAGGUGCGAAAGCGUGGGGAGCAAACAGGAUUAGAUACCCCCGUAGUCCCUGUCUCUUAUAC